Molecule: ribosomal RNA, 466 nt
Filed under: uncultured Glomus
Lineage: Eukaryota; Fungi; Glomeromycota; Glomeromycetes; Glomerales; Glomeraceae
Description: SSU rRNA
Rfam family: Eukaryotic small subunit ribosomal RNA
Source: RNAcentral
CGCAGCCGCGGUAAUUCCAGCUCCAAUAGCGUAUAUUAAAGUUGUUGCAGUUAAAAAGCUCGUAGUUGAAUUUCGGGAUCAAUAUAUUGGUCGUGCCUUCGGUAUGCACUGGUAUUAUUGAUUUCUACCUUCUGACGAACCAUGAUGUCAUUAAUUUGGUGUCAUGGGGAAUCAGGACUGUUACUUUGAAAAAAUUAGAGUGUUUAAAGCAGGCACACGCUUGAAUACAUUAGCAUGGAAUAAUGAAAUAGGACGUUUGAUCUUAUUUUGUUGGUUUCUAGGAUCGACGUAAUGAUUAAUAGGGAUAGUUGGGGGCAUUAGUAUUCAAUUGUCAGAGGUGAAAUUCUUGGAUUUAUUGAAGACUAACUACUGCGAAAGCAUUUGCCAAGGAUGUUUUCAUUAAUCAAGAACGAAAGUUAGGGGAUCGAAGACGAUCAGAUACCGUCGUAGUCUUAACCAUAAACUA